GGUUGUGGCCCAGUGUUAGAGUGCUUGCCUAGCAUGUGUGAGGUAUCAGGUUCAAUCCUUGGCACCA
Molecule: transfer RNA, 67 nt
Filed under: Marmota monax (woodchuck)
Lineage: Eukaryota; Metazoa; Chordata; Mammalia; Rodentia; Sciuridae
Description: tRNA.Ala
Source: RNAcentral